This 424-nucleotide ribosomal RNA is filed under the name uncultured prokaryote. Its description in RNAcentral is "bacterial SSU rRNA". It matches the Rfam family "Bacterial small subunit ribosomal RNA", at positions 355 to 796 of the family's 1533-position model. The record is from RNAcentral.
UGGGGAAUUUUGGACAAUGGGGGCAACCCUGAUCCAGCCAUGCCGCGUGCGUGAAGAAGGCCUUAGGGUUGUAAAGCGCUUUCAGCGGGGACGGUGAUGACGGUACCCGCAGAAGAAGCCCCGGCUAACUCCGUGCCAGCAGCCGCGGUAAUACGGAGGGGGCAAGGGUUGUUCGGAAUUACUGGGCGUAAAGGGCGCGUAGGCGGCACAUCAAGUCAGAGGUGAAAGCCCCGGGCUCAACCUGGGAUUUGCCUUUGAAACUGAUCAGCUUGAGUCCGGAAGAGGAUAGCGGAAUUCCCAGUGUAGAGGUGAAAUUCGUAGAUAUUGGGAAGAACACCAGUGGCGAAGGCGGCUAUCUGGUCCGGUACUGACGCUGAGGCGCGAAAGCGUGGGGAGCAAACAGGAUUAGAUACCCCGGUAGUCC